CAGCAGUUGCAGAUUCCGAGCACUGAGGCGGACAGGUCCAAAGAGCGCACCCAGCAUGCACAUUGGCAGGCCUGUCUGCACAGCCUCGAACCAU
This is a long non-coding RNA of Octodon degus (degu), 94 nucleotides long. RefSeq lists it as uncharacterized. The transcript has 3 exons. NCBI's taxonomy places the organism in Eukaryota, Metazoa, Chordata, Mammalia, Rodentia, Octodontidae. The record is from RefSeq and is a predicted model, not a curated record.